RNAcentral lists this ribosomal RNA (274 nucleotides) under uncultured bacterium. RNAcentral's name for it is "partial 16S ribosomal RNA". It matches the Rfam family "Bacterial small subunit ribosomal RNA", at positions 523 to 796 of the family's 1533-position model. The record is from RNAcentral.
AUACGGAGGGUGCAAGCGUUAUUCGGAAUCACUGGGCGUAAAGGACGCGUAGGCGGGUUGGCAAGUCAGAUGUGAAAUCCUACAGCUUAACUGUAGAACUGCAUUUGAAACUGCUAACCUAGAGUAUGGGAGGGGGAGAUGGAAUUAGUGGUGUAGGGGUAAAAUCCGUAGAUAUCACUAGGAAUACCGAAAGCGAAGGCGAUUUCCUGGAACAUAACUGACGCUAAGGCGUGAAAGCGUGGGGAGCAAACAGGAUUAGAUACCCCAGUAGUCC